RNAcentral lists this long non-coding RNA (267 nucleotides) under Gallus gallus (chicken). The record is from RNAcentral. Lineage: Eukaryota; Metazoa; Chordata; Aves; Galliformes; Phasianidae.
GGAGGACAUAUCCCUGACUGACAACAUCUCCACUGCCCUCUUCCCACAGAGCUCGGGGAUGGCAUUCCAGUUCCCCUCUCUGGAAGAAUGGAGAGAACCUUUUCUCCUGCUCAGCACCAGCUGAGAGCUCCCAGGAAGCUACAGUGAAUACACGGCUUUGAUUUUCCUUGACCUCAUUGUACCUAAUCAGAUAAGCCAACCUGCUGAAGAAAUUCAGUUCUUUUCAGCUGGAAGUUUCACACCUGGGUAUAGUUCUGUCCCUCUGAG